RNAcentral lists this unclassified non-coding RNA (388 nucleotides) under soil metagenome. RNAcentral's name for it is "partial contains 5.8S ribosomal RNA, internal transcribed spacer 2, and large subunit ribosomal RNA". The stretch from base 5 to 123 matches the Rfam family "5.8S ribosomal RNA", at positions 38 to 154 of the family's 154-position model. The record is from RNAcentral.
GAUGGAAGAACGCAGCGAAAUGCGAUAAGUAAUGUGAAUUGCAGAAUUCAGUGAAUCAUCGAAUCUUUGAACGCACCUUGCACCCUUUGGACUGCUCCAAAGGGUAUGCUCGUUUGAGUGUCAUUGUACUCUCACACUCUCUGAUCCUUUGGAUUUGGGGAGCAGUGGACUUGGGUGCUUGCUGCUUCCUUGUGGCUCACCUGAAAUGCAUCAGUGCAUCUCUCGAUUGGACAUAGUACGGCGUGAUAAGUGUCUUCGCCGGCACCUCAUAUGAGGGUGGCCGAUCGGGAGCUCUGUGCUUUCAAACCGUCUUCGGACAACGCUGACAACUUGACCUCAAAUCGAGUAGGACUACCCGCUGAACUUAAGCAUAUCAAUAAGCGGAGGA